CCCUUAGAUGUUCUGGGCCGCACGCGCGCUACACCGAUGCAUUCAACAAGCCUAGCCUUGACCGAGAGGUCCGGGUAAUCUUUGAAACUGCAUCGUGAUGGGGCUAGAUUAUUGCAAUUAUUAAUCUUCAACGAGGAAUGCCUAGUAAGCGUGAUUCAUCAAAUCGCGUUGAUUACGUCCCUGCCCUUUGUACACACCGCCCGUCGCUCCUACCGAUUGAAUGUGUUGGUGAGGAGCUCGGAUUGGCAGCAGUUGGUGGUUCGCCACCGGCUAUUGCUGAGAAGUCCUCCAAACCGCCCCAUUUAGAGGAAGGAGAAGUCGUAACA
This 326-nucleotide ribosomal RNA is filed under the name uncultured eukaryote. Its description in RNAcentral is "partial 18S ribosomal RNA". It matches the Rfam family "Eukaryotic small subunit ribosomal RNA", at positions 1470 to 1796 of the family's 1831-position model. The record is from RNAcentral.